CAGCCGCCGCGGUAAUACGGAGGGUGCAAGCGUUAAUCGGAAUUACUGGGCGUAAAGCGCACGCAGGCGGUUUGUUAAGUCAGAUGUGAAAUCCCCGGGCUCAACCUGGGAACUGCAUCUGAUACUGGCAAGCUUGAGUCUCGUAGAGGGGGGUAGAAUUCCAGGUGUAGCGGUGAAAUGCGUAGAGAUCUGGAGGAAUACCGGUGGCGAAGGCGGCCCCCUGGACGAAGACUGACGCUCAGGUGCGAAAGCGUGGGGAGCAAACAGGAUUAGAUACCCUGGUAGUCCACGCCGUAAACGAUGUCGACUUGGAGGUUGUGCCCUUGAG
This 328-nucleotide ribosomal RNA is filed under the name gamma proteobacterium enrichment culture clone LiUU-16-313. RNAcentral describes it as "bacterial SSU rRNA". It matches the Rfam family "Bacterial small subunit ribosomal RNA", at positions 509 to 836 of the family's 1533-position model. The record is from RNAcentral. Lineage: Bacteria; Pseudomonadati; Pseudomonadota; Gammaproteobacteria.